GUCUAUGGACAUAACACUCUGAAAGUGCCUGACCUUGUCUGAUCUUGGAAGCUAAGCAGGGUCAGACCCGGUUAGUACUUGGAUGGGAGACUGUCUAGGAAUACCAGGUGCUGAAGAGU
RNAcentral lists this ribosomal RNA (119 nucleotides) under Aotus nancymaae (Ma's night monkey). The record is from RNAcentral. Lineage: Eukaryota; Metazoa; Chordata; Mammalia; Primates; Aotidae.